RNAcentral lists this ribosomal RNA (329 nucleotides) under uncultured Bacteroidota bacterium. Its description in RNAcentral is "bacterial SSU rRNA". It matches the Rfam family "Bacterial small subunit ribosomal RNA", at positions 28 to 351 of the family's 1533-position model. Lineage: Bacteria; Pseudomonadati; Bacteroidota. The record is from RNAcentral.
GAUGAACGCUAGCGACAGGCCUAACACAUGCAAGUCGAGGGGCAGCAUAAGAAUAGCAAUAUUCUGGUGGCGACCGGCGCACGGGUGAGUAACACGUAUGCAACCUGCCUGUAAGAGGGGAAUAACCCGGAGAAAUUCGGACUAAUACCGCAUAAUACCACGAAGCUGCAUGGCUUUGCGGUUAAACAUUUAUGGCUUACAGAUGGGCAUGCGUAUGAUUAGCUAGUUGGUGAGGUAACGGCUCACCAAGGCAACGAUCAUUAGGGGUUCUGAGAGGAAGGUCCCCCACACUGGUACUGAGACACGGACCAGACUCCUACGGGAGGCAG